UUAUUAUUUUACUCCUUGGAAACACUUCUUGGGGCUGACUUUUGAUGAUAGUGAUACUUUGGUGCCACCUUGUGACAAAAUCCUGAACCACAACUUGAACAUUGCCAAGCAGGAAAAUGGGAACAAGGGGCUGAUGACCUACAGAACUUUCUGGAAGUCAGGAUGGAAUGGGGAAAACUCCUCAGUGAGUCCAAGGUGUGGAAGAGUAUGCAGAUGCAUUUCCAGUGUGGAAGACAAGCCUGCAUUGUGGUUGCCAGAAGCACCUGACAUCAACAUGUCUACCAUGACUUUUAAUAGAAACAGACCUGCCUUGGUAUGGAGAGCAGGGUCCCACUUUUAGCUCUUCAUGCCAGUAGCUGAGCUCUUUUCAGGUGCUUGAAGAAGGCAGGUUAUGAGGAUCUGAGUCUUAAAAUCUCCUGAAUCUUCUACACCAGAUUCAAGUGCAGCAAUCCCCAGGAGAUCCUAAUACUUCACAUGCCUGGUGGGAUAUGAAUUUUGGUCCAAGUGAGUUCAUAGAUGAAAAAAAACAUGUUGUGGAGUAGCUCCUGUGAGGUUCACAAACUAACCUAAAAGAAAAGCUUCUUUGAUCUCAUGGGAGAAGAGGUUUAGCAGGUGGAAUUUCAUUCCAUCAGCAGCUACAUGUUGUGUAGUAGCCCUUGAGGGCCAUCUUAAGGAAAUCCUCUUUUGUUUGAAAGAAGUGAGUUAUUCAGCUUGACUAGGAUUU
RNAcentral lists this long non-coding RNA (724 nucleotides) under Vulpes vulpes (red fox). RNAcentral's name for it is "lncRNA (ENSVVUG00000001573.1)". Lineage: Eukaryota; Metazoa; Chordata; Mammalia; Carnivora; Canidae. The record is from RNAcentral.